RNAcentral lists this long non-coding RNA (1370 nucleotides) under Gallus gallus (chicken). Its description in RNAcentral is "lncRNA (ENSGALG00010004945.1)". Lineage: Eukaryota; Metazoa; Chordata; Aves; Galliformes; Phasianidae. The record is from RNAcentral.
GGGUAAGCAGUUUUUCUUCCUUUGUUUCUGUGUCCAUGGCUGCUGUAUUUGGGCUUGUUCUCAUUUGCUUCAGCCUAGGAUUGUGCCGCCCAGCUACCGCUGUUGUACUUUACAUAGUAUUAUAGCAUUUCAAAUCCCAUGUGAAGGCAGGAGUUGGACUUGAUGAUCUUUGUGGGUCACUUUUAACUCAGGCUAUGCUAUAAAUCUAUGAUACCAUUUAGAUUUAAAAGAAAGAAAUGGACAAGCUUAUAUUUAAGAUAAUGCAUAGAGAAGGAGAGAAGAAUAACAAAUGAAAACAAGUCUGGAAAUGUUUUCACUUAUCCAAUUCCUACAGACAAAACUAAAGCAAAAUUAAGUUCUUCUAAUCUGAUAAAAAAAAAAAAAACAGAGUUGAUCAAAUGUAUCACUUGAUCUAUAACAGAAUUUUGUCUCCUGUCUUUUCCCUGUUGGGAAUGAUAGAUUUUUCUUGAAAUUCUCACCUCUCUCCCAAGUUUCCCAGACUCAUCCUGGCCCCCUGAAAAAAAUCUUCUCCUUCCGUAUAUGCAUACUUAUUUAUUCAGAGCUCCCCCACCAGCAAACCCAAAGUGAUUCCCCUCAGCUGUUGUACUUCAAUAGGAAACCACAAGUGUACUUUGCAUUUUUGUUGUUGCUUGGGAUUUUAUAUCUAUUUUUUUUUUCCAGAGGAUGCAUUCUCUGAUUGUGUAUUAGUGGUCAGAUGCUGAGCUGGUGAACUCCUUUCCUCACAGGAAACUCUUACACAAUAAAGGCCACGGCAAUGUGAGGUCACCACUGUGAAACUUGAAAUGACUUGUAUAGCAGUUUGGUGGGUCCUCUCUAUGUUCACCAGUAGCCGUACAAAGAAAUGUUAAGGUCAAAUGCUAGGGACUCUACCACAGCAACAAAUUCACCUUCAUGUUAUGGAGGCCCUUGAUCAGCCAGAACUAUGAGAUAACAGUAUUCUGUUUUAUUUCCAUUUUUUUGUUACAUUGCUCAAAUCCCACUUUCCCCUCUUCCGUAACAAAGUGCUACUUCAGACAAAUUUCAUCUGAUGAAAUCACGUCAAGAGUGAUACCUGCUCUUGAUGCAUGGACUUUAGAUAAUCUAAUGAACAAUCUGUUCCAAGAAUUUGACUUCCUUUCCAGGUAAUAAAGCAAGAUCUCUCUUAUCUUUUCUUAACUUGUCUCACAUCCAGUUCCAGACAUCAUAUUUGCCUCUGUCUCCUGGAUCAGACAGGGCUGGAAAAGAUGAGUGGGUUCCUAGUGCUUGGAGAUCAUGACUGAUCUACCCUUUUGCCAGAGCAUUUGAGCAUAGAGCCUGCUGGGAAGCUUAAAGAAAAGUCAGUUUCAUGCCACAGUGUCUCUCUGCAGGUC